ACAACGAGGUCCAUAGUCAUACAUGGGAAACAGCUACUAUAAAAGAUGGGUGAGAAUAAAGAAUCUUUGGAUACGUUCUGCACAACAAUGAUGGAGCAUCGGUAUGUGACCAACAGAGGCUACUGAGCUGACUCGAGCAACUAAAAAACGGUAAAAUUUCCUCAGACUGCUAUGAACUGCUAUGAGGGGAUGUGACAGGAAUCUAUGCAGGACAACACUGGUAUCAGGAGAUCUGGCCCAGCCUCUUUAUGAAGGAAGGAAGAAGAAUGUAAUAGAAACAAAUGCAAUUAAGGGGCAGGGCCAACAUGUGGAUGCAAGGGAGAGGCCACAGGGGCCCACAGGACCACUGCUGUAGGCUCACUGCCACCUGUCACUGAAGCCACCUGGAGGCUCCAGCUGCACCAGUGCUGCAGCCAGAAUGGGAUCUGGAGGCUCAGAGCUGGAGGGCCCUGGAGUGGCGUGCCCAGAGUGACCCAGGAGAGGCUGUCCUCAUGUCCCCCCAUACCUGACCUCCUGCUCUGGCCCCGCACAGCCCCUGUGUCCCACCCACCACCCCGCAGCAGACCCCUGGUAGCAUCCUGGAGCAGGUCCUGCAGUGUCUGCUGGCCACAGGCAUUCUUGGGGUUCAUCACAGCCCCUGGACCCACGGGGGAACUGUCUGUAGCUGGGAUACUGGCUGCCUGCUGUUGGGCUUUUCUCCCUGGGUGGCCCCACCCCUCACCCCUUGCAGGUGGAAUUGGAGAUGGGGUCAGACACCUGAUGUGUCUUUUAAGUUUGUGGA
This is a long non-coding RNA of Alligator mississippiensis (American alligator), 781 nucleotides long. RefSeq lists it as uncharacterized. Lineage: Eukaryota; Metazoa; Chordata; Crocodylia; Alligatoridae. The transcript is spliced from 3 exons. The record is from RefSeq and is a predicted model, not a curated record.